RNAcentral lists this ribosomal RNA (400 nucleotides) under uncultured bacterium. Its description in RNAcentral is "bacterial SSU rRNA". It matches the Rfam family "Bacterial small subunit ribosomal RNA", at positions 356 to 773 of the family's 1533-position model. The record is from RNAcentral.
GGGGAAUAUUGGACAAUGGGGGCAACCCUGAUCCAGCAAUGCCGCGUGAAUGAUGAAGGCCUUAGGGUUGUAAAGUUCUUUUAUUGAUGACGAUAAUGACGGUAAUCAAUGAAUAAGCACCGGCUAACUUCGUGCCAGCAGCCGCGGUAAUACGAAGGGUGCUAGCGUUGUUCGGAAUGACUGGGCGUAAAGGGCGCGUAGGCGGCCAGAUGCGUCUGAUGUGAGAUCCCUGGGCUUAACCUAGGAACUGCAUUGGAUACGGUCUGGCUAGAGUCCGCAAGAGGAAGAUGGAAUUGUGCGUGUAGAGGUGAAAUUCGUAGAUAUGCACAAGAACACCGGUGGCGAAGGCGAUCUUCUGGAGCGGUACUGACGCCAAGGCGCGAAAGCGUGGGGAGCAAAC